This is a long non-coding RNA of Pseudoliparis swirei, 342 nucleotides long. RefSeq lists it as uncharacterized. The transcript has 4 exons. The record is from RefSeq and is a predicted model, not a curated record. NCBI's taxonomy places the organism in Eukaryota, Metazoa, Chordata, Actinopteri, Perciformes, Liparidae.
AAAUGUCGAAGGGGAUAUGUGUUGAAUGCAGACCAGAAAACGUGCUCACGGCCAACGACAUGUGCCCAGGGACAUGACUGCCAGCAUAUUUGUGUAAACACAGAGGAUUCGUACAUCUGCAAGUGUCCUUUGGGAUAUGUGUUGAAUGCUGACCAGAAAACAUGCUCACGCUCUGAUCCAUGUGCCCAUGGACAUGAUUGCCAGCACAUUUGUGAGAACAAUGUUGACUCGUACAUCUGCAGGUGUCAAGUGGGAUAUAAGUUAAAUGCCGACAAAAAUACCUGCUCACGUUUGGACACAUGUGACCAGGGACAUGACUGCCAGCACAUUUGUGUCACAAAU